GAUGGGAUGGCCCAAAGAGUAGACAGCGAGUUCUCUAUGCCGAUGCAAACUUGCAGCUUCUUUACUGCACACUCAACGUAAAAAAACUGUUUUUUGAAACCUUCCUCUCAGUGUCCUGUACCUGCCCAGUGUGCAAAUCCUCUGCUUGACACUCCUCGCAGGCGUCACAUUAGUGAUAUCUCAAAGGCUAUAAGUUGUUCGAGGCGGGCUGACACAAAACAU
Triplophysa dalaica is the source of this 222-nucleotide long non-coding RNA. RefSeq lists it as uncharacterized. The record is from RefSeq and is a predicted model, not a curated record. The transcript has 3 exons. Lineage: Eukaryota; Metazoa; Chordata; Actinopteri; Cypriniformes; Nemacheilidae.